UACAGAGGGUGCAAGCGUUAAUCGGCGUUACUGGGCGUAAAGCGUGCGUGGGUGGUUUGUUAAGUCAGGCGUGAAAUCCCUGGGCUCAACCUGGGAACUGCGUUUGAUACUGGCAGACUCGAGUGUGGUAGAGGGUAGUGGCAUUCCGCAUGUAGCAGUGAAAUGCGUAGAUAUGCGGAGGAACACCAGUGGCGAAGGCGGCUACCUGGACCAACACUGACACUGAGGCACGAAAGCGUGGGGAGGAAACAGG
This 253-nucleotide ribosomal RNA is filed under the name uncultured bacterium. Its description in RNAcentral is "partial 16S ribosomal RNA". It matches the Rfam family "Bacterial small subunit ribosomal RNA", at positions 524 to 776 of the family's 1533-position model. The record is from RNAcentral.